Molecule: long non-coding RNA, 5536 nt
Organism: Mya arenaria
Lineage: Eukaryota; Metazoa; Mollusca; Bivalvia; Myida; Myidae
Exons: 2
Source: RefSeq, a predicted model, not a curated record
CAUCCUACAUUCCAGUUUCUACCACAAGAGUUGUAAAUAUUGAACAGAUAGGGCUUCAUCUUCAAGAUGACAAAAGACAGCACCAACAAUAAUGGGCCAGGACUGAGGAGUUCCAAGAAAUGAGUAUUCUUCAGCCCACAAAUAUCAGUGCUGCCUCGCUGCCCAAAACCAGAGUGUGGCAACAAGUAAAUGGACCUUGACAAAUGUCCUCUUUGUUAGAGCCAGUCCCUUACACAAGUGGCCUACUUUUGCACAGCUGAGGUUGUUAUCAAACGCAGCAGUAGGUAUGAAAUGCGGAAACUGUUCCAACUUGAUCUUCAACAGUUGAGUUACUCCUCUUCACAAUAUUUGAACUGAAAACAAUCGGUGACGAUAUUGCACUUCACUUCUACCUCACAGUGCUCUUCCCUAUAAACGCUAGAGGAAAGUUUGAAAAUGAAAAACUUGUCAUUGCAAGUGUGAAAGGACCAAUUGAUUCUUAACGAAACAACCUGCCUCACUGCUUUAGCUGACACUACAUCAAGUCAACACAAGGCAAUUUGUUUUUCUCGCAACCCGACCGAUAUGUUUAAUCUGAUCAAAAUUGUACACAACCACUGGUAUUCGUUAAAGUUAUACAUAUUGUGUGUAGUGUAGGUAAGAUCAAUGUCAAGGUUAUUUUGGCUAUAAAAAAGGAAAAUGAUUCUUGAUUCAUAACAUCGAUGAAAUAGCAAGCCUUAAGUAUUUUCGAUAAAGUGAUACAUAUAUUUUGUGGUGAUGUCAUAACCUUGUUUCACUGUUUUUGUAGAGAAAACACAUGUUAUAAAUAUAUUAUCACAUUUGUGUUUUUUUUAGCUCGACUAUUUUAAGAAUAAGGUGGGCUAUACUAUUCGCUCUGGUGUCGGUGUCUGGUUCAAGUUUUAGGGCAAGUUGGGAUUUUCACUUAUAAGUCCAAUACUUUUCAUUCAAUUGACUUAAUACCUCACACAGUUGUUCAGGGCCAUCAUAUAAUGGGAAUAGAUAACUCCUUUAUACAAGUUAUAAUAAUAAUAAUAAUAAUAAUAAUAAUAUCUUUAUUUUAAGAAGGUGACAUAUUAAGAUCAUGUACAAAACUACAGAAUCUUAUUUUCGAUAUGGCCCUCUGAAACAGAAUGAAAAUAUGGCAAAUAAUCAUAAGACAAACAUGAAGACGAUGCUAACAACGAUGACGAUGAUGAUGAUGAUUAUAAGUAUGCUGUUGAUGCUGACGAUAAUGAUGCAUAUGAUGACAUGAUGAUGAUGUUGAAUCAAUAUUAGACAGAUACUCUCAGUUAAAUAUAAAUAUGAAUAAAACAUCACAAUUUGUAUAAUCACAAGUUUCCUAUGAGGUACUGUUUGACCUUUAUUUUAUACGUAUUAAAGUUUUUUGAUUCUCGUAUUUCCAAAGGUAUAUUAUUCCAAACAAUUCUGCUGUAAUAUGUAAACGAUGCUUUCAUAUAACAGCAGAAUUGUUAUGGCCCCUGAUUGACUAUCAAACUUAGGUUAAUGUUUUAGGGCAGGUUGGGAUAUUUAUUAAUAACUUCUCUACCAUUCGUUCAUUUAACUUAAUACUUGACACAUUUGUUCAGGACCAUCACACAAUGAGGUUGCAUAACUCUGUAUUAUCCUCAAUACAAGUUAUAGCCGCUGAUUGACUUAGGUUAAAGGUUUAGGGCAGGUUAAAGUUUUAGAACAAGUUGGGAUUUUCACUAAUAAGUCCAAUACCCUUCAUUCAAUUGACUUAAUACUUUACACAGUUGUUCAGUGCCAUCACAUAAUUAGGUAAGAUAACUCCAUAUCAUAUUUUAUUCACACAAUGGCCCCUGAUUGACUAUGGAACUUAGGUUAAAAUUUUAGGGCAGGUUGAUAUAUUUAUUGAUAACUUCUAUACCCUUCAUUCACAUUAUCCUUAAUACAAGUUAUGGCAUUAUCCUUAAUACAAGUUAUGGCCCCUGAUUGACUUAGGUUAAAGUUUUAGGGCAAGUUAAAGUAUUAGGGAAAGUUGGGAUUUUAAUAAAAAAGACUUCUAUACCUUCAUUCAAUGCACUUAAUACUUCGCAGAAUUAUUGACGACCAUCUUACACUAAGGAACAUAACUUCAUGUUAACCCUAAAUACAAAUUAUUGCCCUUGAAUGUUUUUUUUUCUUCUCUUCUUUUAAUUUCUUUUGAAAGGCACAUUUUUAUAUUCCUAACCACAUUUUCAUAAAGGGAAAACAAGAUAUUUGAAUGACCUGUGUCAUUGUUCGGGCGGGCUGGUGUUAGAGCAGCGUCAAAGUCACCUUAUGUAUCGAAUAAUUUUAGUUAGGUUUGACAUACAGAGACCAAACUUGGUAUAUGCAAAGAGUUUAUGGAGACCUUUUAUGGGAAUGCGUUUGAGGCCCCUAUGAUCAAGGUCAAGGUUACAAUUAUUAGACAAAGGGUUGGUUUUGACUAACUUAAGUAAGGGUCUUCUAAUUAGUACCAAAUUUGGUAUAUAGGAAGAGUUUAUAGAGACCUUUCCUGAGAUUGUGUUUUUGGCCCGAGAGUUAUGGUCUAGGUCAAGGUCAAAAUAGAAAUAUGGUAAGUACUGAAUAACUCAAGUAAGGGUUGACAUAGUGUGACCAAACUUGGUAUAUAGGACAAGUUUAUGCAGAGCUUUAAUGGAUGCUUUUUGGCCCCCUAGGGUCAUUGUCACUGUUACUAAAAAUAGAUUACUGUUUCAGUUAAGGCUGACAUACUGUGACCAAACUUGAUAUGUGUAGGAAGAGUUUAUAGCGCGGACACGAGUAUGUGUACUCUGACAUUUAAAUAUCUCGUGUGACUUUGAUCUUUGAGUUAUGGACCCUGGUCAAUGUCACUGCUCAUCGUCUCAAUGAGGACAACAUUUGUACCAAGCAAUAUGGUAAUCCAUCAAUGCAUAAGUAAAUUAUAGCACGGACACGAAAUGUUACAGCCAGACGGACAGACAGACUGAUGAAGUGUUUCUGUAAUCCCCUCCCCACUCCGUGGCGGGGGAUUUGAAAUUUGAUAUUUAUAAAAUAGUGUACUUCCAUUUUUGCCAUUGUUGUGUUUUACCAUUCUGUCAAUAUGUUAAGUGACAGUUGUGCCAAUAUCUUACAGUCACAAUAUAUGACUUUACAGAAUCGUAACAUUAUUUAAUAACCUCAUCAUAAUGAUUACUUAUCUUCCUAUUGUUUUCUUAAAUGUUCUGCAAUUUCAAUAAUUAUUUACAAAACAUGUUCCUAAAAUCAGAGACAUUUGACAGUAUUAUAAGAAUUCUCAUUCAUUGUUUUGUCUAUCUGAACACUGGUGUUUGCAUAAUGCUCUGUAGAUAUCACUAUGCUUUUGCUAAGUUUAAUUCCCAUUAAUGUUUAAAUUAAUUUCUCAUAUGUACAUAUAUAUUUAACAAUGUUCUGUUUUUCAACAUCUCACUUAAACAGUUACAAAAUGUUAAUUUACAAGAAAUACUUGUAUUUUUAUCACUAUGUCAUUUUGCCAUGUCACCCUUCUUUACUACCUGUUAUGCUUAAAGCUGCACUCUCACAGAUUUACCAUUUGUACAACUUUUUAUUGUUUGUCUUGGAAAGCGCAAAUUUUGUUUUAAUAUCCGCAAACAAAUGAUUUAAGAUUACUGACAAAAGAUCAAAUCACACAUUUUCAUAUUUCCAUUUGAAAAUUAAUGUCUUAUGGCUUAAGCUGUUACUAACAGUUAAAGAAAAUUGCAUAAAACAUCAUUUUUUGAACUUAAGUAUAAAAAUCUGCAAUCUUUUUUGUCAGCUGUCUUAUAUAACUGGUUUCAAUGGAUUUUCGCAAAAUAUGGCUCGUUCUAGGUCAAAAAAUGAAAAAGUUGUCAAAACAUUCAAUCUGUGAGAGUGCAGCUUUAACUCUGAUGAAUAUAUCAUUCAAUGUCUCUUUUAUAGGCACUGACUCUCCAUUUACAAACAUUAGAAUUCAUAAUGCUUAAAAAAGUAUGCCUGUUACAACUUCUCAACUUACCCUGCUUUUUUUGCAUGACCCUUAACCAUUCUAUUGUGUGUUGUUGUUUUUCAUUUUCGUGAUUUAUGACUUUUCAAACUUUAAAAAAUAAUGGCCUUUUGGCUAUCAACCAUAUCAGCAAUGCUUAUACUGAUAAUAUAAAACUCCAGGCAUAUCAUUUAUAGUUUUGGGUUUGAAAACUUUCAACUUUUAAGUUAGUAAAUCAUUUAACAAAUACACCUACUUUCAACCCAAUUCAUUCCAACAUAACAACUGAAACUGAGUCUUUUUAAGCCCCCCCCCCAUGAAAAAGAUAUUUAUCACCCUAUAAAUAGUUUCAUUCAAAUACUGUGCAUUUGCAUACUAGGUACAUAUUACUAGGUUUUCAUGCAUUUUUAUUUAUAUUCUUUUCUUCCAUACCUGUUCUAUUUCAUUGCUUAUGAAAUAGUACCAGCAUGUAUUUUAGUAUUCUAUUAAUUUGUCUGUGUGCAUUCUUAUUCCAAGUAUUGGUCGCACUUACACCAAAUUAUAACAAAUAUUCUUUCUGUUGUUAAUUACAUUUCAGUACAACUCUACCAUUCCCAGCAUACAUACUAACUCUGUAUUUUUUGUUAUCAUGCUUAUUACUCUUUGUUGUAUACAAAAAGUAUAUAAAAUGUCAUAUUGCUCAUGUUCUUUCUUGUUUGUACAUAUGUUCACAUUUCAGUAAUACUCAAUGCAGUAUUUAUUCUUAUAUUUCAAUGUCAUAUUUUAAAGAAUUGAGAAGUUUUACAGGCAAAAUAACAUUAACACAUUUCCACCAAACUUAGUACAAAUACUUCACUUUUCGUGUAUUAAAACAUAUUCCUCACUUCAUUUCAUUGUAACCUAUGAUUUUCAGCACUUUCUUCAUAAAUCUUUUGUGUCAUUAUAUUUCCAUACACAUUAAGUGAUCAACUUCCUUGUCAUACCACUAUCAACCUGCAUCACAUUCUGCUCAUCAUUCUUAUAUCUUAUGCCUUAAAAGUGCAUAAUGCAUGAUGAUUACAUAAUGUUUAUUACCUAUAAGUGUAAACUUGUUUCCUUUGUUUAAAACAUCCUGCAUGCCUAUAAAUCAUCUACGCCACAGAACAAGGAAAAUGACAUUAAUAAUGAUGACAGACUUCUUUCUUUCAGCUCAUGUAUAACCAACUUCUUUUAGUUUAUGUUAAAUGUAUUUUUUAAUUGUGUUAAAAUCUGUUACAUUAGCAAACAGUUUUAUGUGUUUUUCAGUUAGAAACGAUGGCUUUGUAACACUUAAUUAUAACGGUCAACUUGUUUCGCGGAUUAUUAGCCAACAGUAAACAUUGUUUUAAGCAGAUGUCCUUAAUUAGUUUUUUUGGAUAAACCUUUGGUGCUACUCCUGUUUAAAGUCAAUAUUUCACCAAAGUACUUCAAAUUCUCAACGUUUCGAACUUUGCCCAGAAUUUACCAAAUCAUGUUGGCAUAUUUAACAUUUCAGCUAUCAUAUCAGCCACUCCAAAAGAAAACCACCACUGUGGCCAUGUUGUCUUUUAUAAAUGUGUGUAUAUUGAUACAGUUCAUGAAUAAAGUUAUUUGAUACAA